RNAcentral lists this ribosomal RNA (440 nucleotides) under uncultured bacterium. RNAcentral describes it as "bacterial SSU rRNA". It matches the Rfam family "Bacterial small subunit ribosomal RNA", at positions 338 to 794 of the family's 1533-position model. The record is from RNAcentral.
CCUACGGGAGGCUGCAGUAACGAAUCUUCCGCAAUGCGCGAAAGCGUGACGGAGCAAUGCCGCGUGCAGGAUGAAGCCCUUCGGGGUGUAAACUGCUGUCAGGGAUUAGGAACACAAUGACCAAUCCCAAAGGAAGAGACGACUAACUCUGUGCCAGCAGUCGCGGUAAUACAGAGGUCUCGAGCGUUAGUCGGAAUCAUUGGGCUUAAAGCGUACGUAGGCGGAUAUGCAGGCGUCGUGUGAAAGCCCCCGGCUCAACCGGGGAAUUGCACGGCGAACCGCAUGUCUUGAGACAAGUAGGGGCUGUCGGAACGAUAGGUGGAGUGGUGAAAUGCGUUGAUAUCUAUCGGAACGCCGAAGGUGAAAACAGACAGCUGGGCUUGUUCUGACGCUGAGGUACGAAAGCGUGGGGAGCGAACGGGAUUAGAUACCCUUGUAGU